GAUGAACGCUGGCGGCGUGCCUAAUACAUGCAAGUCGAGCGAACGGACGAGAAGCUUGCUUCUCUGAUGUUAGCGGCGGACGGGUGAGUAACACGUGGAUAACCUACCUAUAAGACUGGGAUAACUUCGGGAAACCGGAGCUAAUACCGGAUAAUAUUUUGAACCGCAUGGUUCAAAAGUGAAAGACGGUCUUGCGGUCACUUAUAGAUGGAUCCGCGCUGCAUUAGCUAGUUGGUAAGGUAACGGCUUACCAAGGCAACGAUGCAUAGCCGACCUGAGAGGGUGAUCGGCCACACUGGAAGUGAGACACGGUCCAGACGCCUACGGGAGGCAGCAGUAGGGAAUCUUCCGCAAUGGGCGAAAGCCUGACGGAGCAACGCCGCGUGAGUGAUGAAGGUCUUCGGAUCGUAAAACUCUGUUAUUAGGGAAGAACAUAUGUGUAAGUAACUGUGCACAUCUUGACGGUACCUAAUCAGAAAGCCACGGCUAACUACGUG
Molecule: ribosomal RNA, 497 nt
Filed under: uncultured bacterium
Lineage: Bacteria
Description: partial 16S ribosomal RNA
Rfam family: Bacterial small subunit ribosomal RNA
Source: RNAcentral